GUGACAGCAGCCGCGGUAAUGCAGGGGGUGCAAACGUUGCUCGGAAUUAUUGGGCGUAAAGCGCGCGUAGGCGGCUACUUAUGUCGGAUGUGAAAGCCCUUGGCUCAACCGAGGAAGUGCACCCGAAACUGGGUAGCUGGAGUACGAAAGAGGGUCGCGGAAUUCCCGGUGUAGAGGUGAAAUUCGUAGAUAUCGGGAGGAGCACCGGUGGCGAAGGCGGCGACCUGGGUCGAUACUGACGCUGAGGCGCGAAAGCGUGGGGAGCAAACAGGAUUAGAAACCCCCGUAGUCC
Molecule: ribosomal RNA, 292 nt
Filed under: uncultured bacterium
Lineage: Bacteria
Description: partial 16S ribosomal RNA
Rfam family: Bacterial small subunit ribosomal RNA
Source: RNAcentral